CGCGCCCGAUUAGCUAGUUGGUGAGGUAAUGGCUCACCAAGGCGACGAUCGGUAGCCGGCCUGAGAGGGCGAACGGCCACACUGGAACUGAGACACGGUCCAGACUCCUACGGGAGGCAGCAGUGGGGAAUAUUGCGCAAUGGGGGAAACCCUGACGCAGCAACGCCGCGUGGAGGACGAAGGUUUUCGGAUUGUAAACUCCUGUCCUCUGGGACGAUAAUGACGGUACCAGAGGAGGAAGCCACGGCUAACUACGUGCCAGCAGCCGCGGUAAUACGUAGGUGGCAAGCGUUGUCCGGAAUUACUGGGCGUAAAGGGCGCGUAGGCGGUACCCUAAGUCAGAUGUGAAAACCCGGAGCUUAACUUCGGAACUGCAUUUGAAACUGGGGAACUCGAGUGUCGGAGAGGAAAGCGGAAUUCCAAGUGUAGCGGUGAAAUGCGUAGAUAUUUGGAGGACACCAGUGGCGAAGGCGGCUUUCUGGACGAUAACUGACGCUGAGGCGCGAAAGCGUGGGGAGCAAACAGGA
RNAcentral lists this ribosomal RNA (527 nucleotides) under uncultured bacterium. RNAcentral describes it as "bacterial SSU rRNA". It matches the Rfam family "Bacterial small subunit ribosomal RNA", at positions 232 to 777 of the family's 1533-position model. The record is from RNAcentral.